AACGCAUCUUGCACCCUUUGGUAUUCCGAGGGGUAUGCCUGUUUGAGUGUCAUUAAAUUCUCAACUUCAAGAAUUUUUUCUUCUUGAGGUUUGGAUGUGGGGCUUGCUGGCUUUUUCCAAGUCUAGCUUCUCUGAAAAACAUCAGUUGGAGACUAUUAGAUCUCUUCUCAUGGUGUGAUAGUUAUCUACGCCAAAUGUGAAUAUCUUUUUGGGUCUUCUACUUCUAAAUAGUCCAUUAGCUUGGACAAUUUUAUGACCAACUUGACCUCAAAUCAGGUAGGAUUACCCGCUGAACUUAA
This 299-nucleotide unclassified non-coding RNA is filed under the name uncultured fungus. RNAcentral describes it as "partial contains 5.8S ribosomal RNA, internal transcribed spacer 2, and large subunit ribosomal RNA". The stretch from base 1 to 52 matches the Rfam family "5.8S ribosomal RNA", at positions 103 to 154 of the family's 154-position model. Lineage: Eukaryota; Fungi. The record is from RNAcentral.